CCUACGGGAGGCUGCAGUGAGGAAUAUUGGUCAAUGGGCGCGAGCCUGAACCAGCCAAGUCGCGUGAGGGAAGACGGCCCUAUGGUUUGUAAACCUCUUUUGUCGGGGAGUAAAAGUCGCCACGCGUGGAGUUUCGCACGUACCCGAAGAAAAAGCAUCGGCUAACUCCGUGCCAGCAGCCGCGGUAAUACGGAGGAUGCGAGCGUUAUCCGGAUUUAUUGGGUUUAAAGGGUGCGCAGGUGGAAUUUCAAGUCAGGGGGAAAAUUGUGAGUCUCAACCUUUUCGAGCCGGUGAAACUGGUAGUCUUGAGUGAGUGAGAGGUAUGCGGAAUGCGUGGUGUAGCGGUGAAAUGCAUAGAUAUCACGAAGAACUCCGAUUGCGAAGGCAGCAUACCGGGGCUCAACUGACGCUCAAGCACGAAAGUGUGGGGAUCGAACAGGAUUAGAUACCCCGGUAGUC
Molecule: ribosomal RNA, 459 nt
Filed under: uncultured bacterium
Lineage: Bacteria
Description: partial 16S ribosomal RNA
Rfam family: Bacterial small subunit ribosomal RNA
Source: RNAcentral